Molecule: ribosomal RNA, 922 nt
Filed under: Podosphaera xanthii
Lineage: Eukaryota; Fungi; Ascomycota; Leotiomycetes; Helotiales; Erysiphaceae
Description: eukaryotic LSU rRNA
Rfam family: Eukaryotic large subunit ribosomal RNA
Source: RNAcentral
AUGACCUCGGAUCAGGUAGGGAUACCCGCUGAACUUAAGCAUAUCAAUAAGCGGAGGAAAAGAAACCAACAGGGAUUACCUCAGUAACGGCGAGUGAAGCGGUAACAGCUCAAAUUUGAAAUCUGGCUCCUCGGGGCCCGAAUUGUAAUUUGUAGAAGAUGCUUUGGGUCUGGGCCUGGCCUAAGUUCCUUGGAACAGGACGUCGUAGAGGGUGAGAAUCCCGUAUGCGGCUGGCGCCCGUGCCCGUGUAAAGCUCUUUCAACGAGUCGAGUUGUUUGGGAAUGCAGCUCUAAAUGGGUGGUAAAUUUCAUCUAAAGCUAAAUAUUGGCCAGAGACCGAUAGCGAACAAGUAGAGUGAUCGAAAGAUGAAAAGCACUUUGGAAAGAGAGUUAAACAGUACGUGAAAUUGUUGAAAGGGAAGCGCUGGCAACCAGACUUGGGCGCUGUUGAUCCGCUAGGGUUCUCUCUAGGGCACUCGGCAGUGCGCAGGCCAGCAUCGGUUUGGGGGGUUGGAGAAUGGCUGGUGGAAUGUGGCUGUCUUUGGGCAGUGUUAUAGCCACCGGUGGCAUGCAGCCUCCCCGGACCGAGGACCGCGCUUCGGCUAGGAUGCUGGCGUAAUGGUUGUCAGCGACCCGUCUUGAAACACGGACCAAGGAGUCUAACAUCUAUGCGAGUGUUUGGGUGUUAAACCCAUACGCGGAAUGAAAGUGAACGUAGGUGAGAACCCGCAAGGGUGCAUCAUCGACCGAUCCUGAUGUCUUCGGAUGGAUUUGAGUAAGAGCAUAGCUGUUGGGACCCGAAAGAUGGUGAACUAUGCCUGAAUAGGGUGAAGCCAGAGGAAACUCUGGUGGAGGCUCGCAGCGGUUCUGACGUGCAAAUCGAUCGUCAAAUUUGGGUAUAGGGGCGAAAGACUAAUCGAACC